CAGUUGUUGGUUGGUUACUGAACGAACUAUCACGAAAGUUAGGUGAGCGUUGGCAUUACGCGACAUUAGCAUGAUCAUUUCACUUUUCGAUCGUCGCCAUUUUGUAAGCCAAAGAGUGUGUCAUGGACUUCAGCUGGAUUAAAUGUGUAUUACCCGGGAGGAACUGUAAAGAACCAGCCAGACAGCCCGCCCGCCGAGCUGUACUUUGUGUAUGCCAACAUGCCGACAUGCUGUAAUUUGUUAGUACUUCAAGAUCAUACAAUGGAAAAUUGUAUCCAAACUGAAGUAUAAUUUGACGAGCCUGGUUGCUGUAGCCACAGGGGAAUUUUCAAGGACAAGAACCAGUGCUG
Long non-coding RNA from Mya arenaria, 350 nucleotides. RefSeq lists it as uncharacterized. The record is from RefSeq and is a predicted model, not a curated record. Lineage: Eukaryota; Metazoa; Mollusca; Bivalvia; Myida; Myidae. The transcript has 3 exons.